Mirounga angustirostris (Northern elephant seal) is the source of this 955-nucleotide long non-coding RNA. RefSeq lists it as uncharacterized. NCBI's taxonomy places the organism in Eukaryota, Metazoa, Chordata, Mammalia, Carnivora, Phocidae. The record is from RefSeq and is a predicted model, not a curated record. The transcript is spliced from 8 exons.
AGGGCUGGCGCCCGAGGGCCCUCGGACGCGUCGCCCACCUGCCCCGCCCCGCCCCGCCAGCGCCCCUCCCGCGCGGGUCCCGGCUCCGCGAGACUGCGGGCGGCACGCGGGCGCUGGGGACGCUGCGCCGAGCGCAGGCAGAAGUCUUAGAAGUCAUCUUGGAUAUUUCCCUCUUCCUUGUUCACUAUUUCCAGAAGUGAGCAGACAGACCUGGGUUCACUCCUCAACUCUGCCACAAGCCAGCUGUGGACUAACUUAAUGAAGAGCCAAAUUCAAGCUGCUAGAAAGCUGGUCCAAAUAUCAGACAGGUUACAGCACUAGGAGCGGUACUGUAGAAUUGGCUCCUCUUGGCUGUGAUGGUUCCAUAGGCUUUCCUUGUUUUUGAUGACCCGGACAGUUUUGAGGAGUGCUGCCAGGCAGAGUCCCUGUGCUCCUUCUUGCUGUCGUCAGGUAGCACCACACCAACCGUCUUCUGCCAGAGGCAGCAGGGGCCGGAAGGAAGCCUGAGUGUGGAUGCAGGGGGCCUGCCUCACUGCCCUCCCUGCCUCCCAGCAGCGGUGUGGUUUCGCGCCUUGAGCUUCAGCUCCCUCGGGUGUACAGUGGACACACUGCUAUCCUGGCGUCGCAGGAUCGCCGUGAGCAUCACGUGAGAAUAACAGCGAGGUCCAUGUUUGCUUCUGAGCAAAGCCGAAGGCCCCUGCCACUCCACAAGCAGUUACUACAGGUGGGCGACAAAUGUGGAUCUAAGAGUCGCAGAAGCCAAAGAAAAGAGAAAAAAAAUUUAAAAAACAACAGAGAAAAAAGAAUCCGGCAGAAGGAGUACAUUGGUGAGUUAGAAGAAGACCUGCCUUUCUAAAGCAGAGCCCAGAGGGAGGAAAUAUCACACUUGGAGGGAAAACAGAGAGAAGAAAAAAAAAAAACUGAAAUUAAAGCCAAACAUUCUUUCCAAGGCACA